This 307-nucleotide ribosomal RNA is filed under the name uncultured eukaryote. RNAcentral describes it as "partial 18S ribosomal RNA". It matches the Rfam family "Eukaryotic small subunit ribosomal RNA", at positions 1470 to 1796 of the family's 1831-position model. The record is from RNAcentral.
CCCUUAGACGUUCUGGACCGCACGCGCGCUACACUGACACAGGCAACGAGCUUUCCUUUACCGAAAGGUAUGGGUAAUCUUUUGAAACUGUGUCGUGCUGGGGAUAGAUCCUUGCAAUUUUUGAUCUUAAACGAGGAAUUCCUAGUAAGCGCGAGUCAUCAACUCGCGUUGAUUACGUCCCUGCCCUUUGUACACACCGCCCGUCGCUACUACCGAUUGAAUGGCUUAGUGAGGCCUCAGGAUCCGCGCUUAAUGUGUGGAGAAUUUGGACAAACUACGUCAUUUAGAGGAAGUAAAAGUCGUAACA